UACGUAGGGGGCAAGCGUUGUCCGGAAUCAUUGGGCGUAAAGCGCGUGUAGGCGGCCCGGUAAGUCCGCUGUAAAAGUCCAGGGCUCAACCCUGGAAAGCCGGUGGAUACUGUCGGGCUCGAGUCCGGAAGAGGCGAGUGGAAUUCCUGGUGUAGCGGUGAAAUGCGCAGAUAUCAUGAGGAACACCGAUGGCGAAGGCAGCUCGCUGGGACGGUACUGACGCUGAGACGCGAAAGCGUGGGGAGCAAACAGG
This 253-nucleotide ribosomal RNA is filed under the name uncultured bacterium. RNAcentral describes it as "partial 16S ribosomal RNA". It matches the Rfam family "Bacterial small subunit ribosomal RNA", at positions 524 to 776 of the family's 1533-position model. The record is from RNAcentral.